Long non-coding RNA from Oncorhynchus nerka (sockeye salmon), 4294 nucleotides. RefSeq lists it as uncharacterized. The transcript is spliced from 3 exons. Lineage: Eukaryota; Metazoa; Chordata; Actinopteri; Salmoniformes; Salmonidae. The record is from RefSeq and is a predicted model, not a curated record.
GAAGUGGCGAACAAGGAGGGUAGGAGAGAAGCAUCAACGAAUUCACUUCUAAAUUAUGGUGUAUCAGCCACGUAGUCGUUUAGGAAUGAGAGCUACCGAGUUGACUGUGCGGUCCAUCAUUGACAACUUACAGCAAGGCACCGUAAUCGUUUCUGUUUGCAAUACUUUUCUUUGCUUGUGAUAAAAUAAAAGUGUCUUUGGAAAUACGUUUGGAGUGGUAUGUGUGUGGCCAAAUUGUUGCUUUACCAUGGGUAAGAAAUAAUCCAAGAAGUGAUUUAGCUAGCUAAUCUAUUUUUCCUAUUUAUCAAUCUCUUCUCUAGAAUGCUAUGCUGAUUUUCUCACAGAGGACUUUGACGUGAAGACGUACACAGCCCAGGCCAUCCACCAUACUGUCAUCUUAGAACAGCUGGCCAAGCUGGCUCAGGGUAUCAGUCAGCUGGACAAGGAGCUCCACAGCCAGGUGGUAGCCAGGCACGAGGAGCUACUUGCUCAAGCUACUGGGAUUGAGUCUUUGGAAGGUAAUACACCUUUAGCACAUAUUUGUUUUUGUCAUCGUGGCACUUCGGACUUGCUGGAACAGGGGUUCUCAAAGUGGGGUCUGCAGACCCCUCUGGGCUUUUGGCCAAGAGAGCCAUGGCCAAAAGCCACGGAUCCCUGUGUAAUACAAUACAAGUACCGUGGAUACAAUGUAAUAUUAUGUAUCUAAAAUGUAUCUUAUUAACCCUGAACAACAUGGGCCUGGGAGGCUCACAGGGAUAUUGGUAUCCACAGUACUCCACCAAUUGAUCACGCUCUCCACAGCCGAUGUGAGUAAGGCCUUUAAACAGGUCAACAUUCGCAAGGCUGCAAAGUCAGACGGAUUACCAGGACGUGUACUACGAGCAUGUGCUGACCAACUGGCAAGUGUCUUCACUGACAUUUUCAACCUGUCCCUGUCUGAGUCUGUAAUUCCAACAUGUUUCAAGCAGACCACCAUAGUCCCUGAAAGAUUAUUGGAAUCUAUGUGGGUAGCUGGACAGGUAGGAUGACUGGCAAUAGUGAAGGUGAACAGAUGGUCAGGUGACAGAGGAAUGGAUGAGACUGAGGCAGGAAUUCCUUUAACCACAAAGUGGUAUAUGUACUGGUUAGUUUGUCUGUGCUGUAUAACAAAAUAAAGAGAAUAACAUGUACCCAAUAAAAAUUCUAAUCAGAAAGUAAAAUGAUAACAAUCAUUGUCAUUAUUAACAGAAUAAUUCAGCAAUAAGGUUCCAUAGGAAUUCAAUAUGAAGGAGAAUGGAGUCAUUUAUUAUCAUAACCAUGUUAACCAUGUUAAUCCAGAGAAGGAUUAAUGCAAAUAAAUUGUUAAUUUAUACAAUCUAUAAUCUCCAUCAAUUUGAUAUAAGAAUUUAUAAAUUCAGCAAAUCAUUAUGUUUCAUAUUUCAUCCUUCUAGGUUAGUCUUCAUAUGUACAUGUAAUUUCAUUACAUUUUAACCAUAUUUCAAUGUCUGUAGGGCUGUGAUCAUUGGGCAUAUACAUAACACAACAGGUUUGAAGCGUGCGCUCCAAGCCUCGCUCCGCAGUAAUAACUAUAAACAAUAACUGAUGGCCCGCUCUCCCGAUUGCAGCAUAGUUCAGAUGAAAGGUAACAGAUUCGGUGGAGUUACGUUGAUUCAUGGACGCACAGAAUGUCUGGAUUAGACGGAGUUGAGGAAGAGAAAGCAGUGAGGUUGGGCAGUGGCGAUGUCCUCCUUUUACUGAUUUGAGAUCUGUCGGACAUUUCCACCUGACCUAAUUAAAGCGCCCCUGGCCCAGCUGAGCAAGUGGCCAUGAAUUAAAGGACAAUUCCACCAACUCCAUGGGCCUUUCUACAGUCCCUGUGCAUAAAGAACACUAAGGUAACCUGCCUAAAUGACUACUGACCCGUAGCACUCAUGUCUGUAGUCAUGAAAUACUUUGAAAGGCUGGCUCACAUCAACACCAGAAACCCAAGACCCACUCUAAUUUGCAUACCUCACCAACAGAUCCACAGAUGAUGCAAUCUCUAUUGCACUCCACACUGCCCUUUUAAAACAUGUAUUUACAUUUGUUCACCUUUAUUUAACUUGGUAACUUGGUAAGCUAGUUGAGAACAAGUUCUCAUUUAACUGCUACCUGGCCAAGAUAAACAGAGCAGUGAGACAGAAACAACAACACAGAGUUGCACAUGGAAUAAACACACCUGGACAAAAGGAACAGCUAUGUGAGAAUGCUAUUCAUUGACUACAGCUCAGCUUUCAACACCAUAGUGAUCACUAAGCUAAGGACCCUGGGACUAAACACCUCCCUCUGCAACUGAAUCCUGGAAUUGCUGACGGGCUGCCCCCAGGUGGUAAGGGUAGGCAACAACACAUCCGCCACGCUGAUCCUCAACAAGGGGGCCCCUCGGGAAUGCGUGCUCAGGCCCUUCCUGUACUCCCUGUUCAUUCAUGACUCCAACACCGUCAUUAAGUUUGCUGAUGACACAAUGAUGAGACAGCCUAUAGGGAGGAGGUAAGAGACCUGACCGUGUGGUGCAAGGACAACAACCUCUCCCUCAAUGGGAUUUAAGACAAAGAAGAUGUUCGUAGACUACAGGAAAAAUAGGACCGAGCACACUCCCAUUCUCAUCGAUAGGGCUGUAGUGGAGCAGGUUGAGAGCUUCAAGUUCCUUGGCGUCCACAUCACCAACAAACUAACAUGGUCCAAGCAUACGAAGACAGUCAUAAAGAGGGCACGAGAAAGCAUAUUCCUCCUCAGGAAUACUGAAAAGAUUUGGCAUGGGUCCUCAAUCCUCAAAAGGUUUUACAGCUGCACCAUCGAGAGCAUCACUGCCUUUUACGGCAAUUGUUCGACCUCUGACCGCAAGGCACUACAGAGGGUAGUGCGAGCAGCCCAGUACAUCACCGGGGCCAAGCUUCCUGCCACCCAGGACAUAUAUACCAGGCGGUGUCAGAGGAAGGUCCUAAAAAUUGUCAUAGACUCCAGCCACCGUAGUCAUAGACUGUUCUCUCUGCUACCGCACAGCAAGCGGUACCGGAGCACCAUGUCUACUUCCAAGAGGCUUCUAAACAACUUCUAUCCCAAAGACAUAAGACUCCUGAACAGCUAAUCAAAUGGCAACCCAGACUAUUUGCAUUGGCAACACAGACUAUUUGCAUUCCCCCCACCCUCUUUUACAAUGCUGCUACUCUUUAUUAUCUUUGCAUAGUCACUUUAAUAACUCUACCUACAUGUACAUGUUACUCAAUUACCUUGACACCGGUGCCCCCGCACAUUGGCACAUUGACUCUGUGCCGGUACCCCCUGUAUAUAGCCCCACUAUUGUUAUUUACUGCUGCUCUUUAAUGAUUUGUUAUUCUUAUCGCUUACUUUUUUUUGGGGGGGGGGGGUAUUUUCUUUAAACUGCAUUGUUGCUUAAGGACUUGUAAGUAAGCAUUUCACUGUAAGGUUCGGCGCAUGUGACAAUUACAAUUUGAUUUGAUUAUAUACAGUAUAUUUUUUUACAUAAAUCCACUGUAAUUGAAGUUUAAAACGUCAAUGUUUUCUCUCUGCUUCGUGGCAAAAUGUGUAGAAUUGAUGUAUAUUAGCUUUAAAGCACUAACAACAAAAAAUCUCUGUGCCCCAUGACAAAAUGUGUAGAAUUGCAGGAAAUUAGCCAAGAGGCGGCCCUUUUUAAAUAUUAUUUUCGCACUGCAGACGUCACGGUAAAUCUCCUUGUAGACUAUUUAUUUGUGUAAUGAUAAUGAGGUUGUCCCUGAUGAAUUUGCUAUCACAAAAGGGGUUACCAGACCCAAAAAGUUAAAGAACUUCUGUGUUGGAAUAUAUGCUGUCAUUGUAGUGCUGUAGACAUUCCAUAGGGGGCGCUGCCGUCACACAAUUGGAUAUAAGCAUCAGUGCGUCUCUCAGUAUUGAAAAAACAUUUUACCCUGUAUCAGUGGUUAGGUGCGUUAUCUACCUACUCCAAGCCUAUAAGACCGUACACAUCAUCACAGGGAAUGAUCAAGGCAAAAUAUAACUUUUUUUGUUUUUUUAUUUCACCUUUAUUUAACUAGGCAAGUCAGUUAAAAACAAAUUCUUAUUUACAAUGACAUCCUAACUCAGACGACGCUGGGCCAAUUGUGUGCCGCUCUACGGGACUCCCAAUCCCGGCCGGUUGUGAUACAGCCUGGAAUCGAACCAGGGUCUGCAGUGACUCCUCUAGCACUGAGAUGCGGUGCCUUAGACUGCUGUGCCACUUGUGUUCAGAGACCCUCAAUAAAUCCGACCUCUAGUAACAGCACUCAACCUAUUUGUUUUC